RNAcentral lists this long non-coding RNA (6223 nucleotides) under Medicago truncatula (barrel medic). Its description in RNAcentral is "long non-coding RNA (MTRU_LNC008282)". Lineage: Eukaryota; Viridiplantae; Streptophyta; Magnoliopsida; Fabales; Fabaceae. The record is from RNAcentral.
UCUUGUGACAUUUUUCAAAUGCAACUAUGUUGCGAAAAACAGUACCUCUGUGAUCACCAAUGUACAAAGGUGGAAUAGUUAGUUCCUUUACCAUAAUUCCCCAUUUUUUUCCAAAGCUUAUAUCCAUCAAUUCUCUACUCUCACAUGCUUUAGUUUUCACACCCCCUUUUUUUAGUUCUGUUAUUGAAUGAAUCAUCUGGCUCUGACAUCCUCUUGGUUCUUCGCCAAUGAGUUUUGGCCUUAUGUUGUAUCUAAGAAGAUCAAGAACAUGUUCAAUUUUGAACUUGUAAGAUGUUUGACAUUCAGGGGUUUUUCAUGAUUCGGAUUGAAGCAAUUGGUAGAAGAAUAUGAAAGAAAGAUUGUAGAAACUCAUUUGUGGUAGAAAGUUUGACAAUACAAGCUCUAAACAUAAAUUGCUUUGUUGCAUAUUGUAGAAAACAAGCUUUUAACAAGAUUACUGAUCUACGAAAAUUCAACAGACAUUGUUGCAUGCCUCUAUAGAAGCGAUUAGCUCUGGCACAGAUUUGAGAUAACAGUAUAUCUGUUUCACGAAAAAUCAUAACUCUUUGAAAAUACAAUAUGAAUAUCCGCGGGAAAAACCGCAGAAAUACCUAAAAGAAUCAAGUUAGAGAAUAAAACAAAUUCAAAGGAGCCACACGAAAUGUUCUAUUUUCCUACGAAUUUUCUUACGGUUAUAUUAUGUGUAGGGAAACUGCAGUGAUGACAUGUUGUCGUUUGAUGUUUUUUUAGGUAGGAUUUAUGCAUUUUAAGAGAGUUCAAAUGAUUUUGGGUUGGGGCAUACUCAAAUAUGAACAACUAAGAGGAUGAGAAGAGAAACAACAAGGCAGAUAGAAGAAGAAGAUAACGAACAAAUAAAGGGAAGAUAACAAACAACAUUAAUAUUUUUUAUUUCAAAAAUCUAUAAUAAGGUCAUUUUAAAAUAUUUAAUUUUCAUUUUGAUAUAUUAAUUUUAUAUCUUUUAAGAAAAAAUACAGUUAGAUUAAGAUGAAAAAUAUGGCUAAACAAUAACAUACAAUUACAAUUUUUUUGUUUUGUUUGCUACAUGAGUUGGUUAAAAUGAUGUGAACAGAACAAUGAAUUCAAUUCGGUAUAAGAAACAAAGUCAUAAUUUCAGAACCUGCAUCAAAUUAGAAACAAAAUUGUGAAUAAAAGAAAAAAAUGAAGAGUAAGUUUCAGAUGACUAAGAUGGCCUAAACAAUGUUUAAACCAUGCAGUUCAUUUUUUUUUUUUUUUUUUGUGUUACACGAUUUCUUUCAUUAAAUGGCGUGUCGCAAUAUCUAUGACACGUCCGAGCUAAACACUAGAUUCCAUUCCGUAUUUUGAGAAAUGGGACGAUAGAAACCCCCAUUUCAUAAAUAAGAAACAAAGUCAUAUUUUCGAUUAUUGACAACACAAUCUUUUUCCUCUGAUUUCCAUUUUGAAGUGUUACAAAUUUUACAGGUCUCCCUCCCUUCAUCUUCAACCCAAUAAAGCAUACACUCGUUGGGACAUGCAGGUAUCUUUAUAUAAUUCAUACCAAAUUUUGUAAUUUUUUUCUUUGCUUCAUAGAACGAACUUGGAAUACUUGCUUCAUAUAAAGUUAAACAUGAAUAUGAACCCUACAACACAUGACUUUUACCAAAAACUAAAGUUGUAGUUAGUCAGACCCAAGAAUCUCAGAAGCUGGACUCUACUGUGGUAAAGACAAAGCACCACAAAAAUCAAACUUUAUCCCCUCUAUUGUCGUAAGAACCAUGUAUGUUUUAAAGUUGUAGGUUUUGUUUUUUUUGAAGAAACAAAGUUGUAGGUUUUGUGAAUGAUUGAUUUAGCAACGAGUGAGAGUGAGAGUGAGAUGGAGAUUUGAUAGUUUUUUUUCCCCUUUUUGGUAGAAAGAUGGAGAUUUGGGGUUUUGGGAAAGUGAGAAAGGGGGGAACGAAAAUUUGGUAAAGCAGGGAAUGAAAAUAUACAAUGAUUUUGGGUGGUACUAGAUUUGAGGCAACUUUGGGUUGGGGCAUACUGAAAUAUGAACAACUAAGAGGAUGAGAAGAGAAACAACAAGGUAGAUAGAAGAAGAAGACAACGAACAAAUAAAGGGAAUGAUAGAGAAUGAUGAAGAAUAAUAUGGAUGUCUCUAGAACAAUAAAGAAUAAUGUGGAAGUCUCUAGACAUAAAAGAAUAUUAAGGAAGUCUCUAGAAUACUAAAGAAUAAUAAGGCUCACCACCAAGUGUGUAGAAUACUCAUAUCAUUGAAUCAUUCAAGUAAUAUAACUUUUAUUUGAGAAUAUUAGAGAGUUUCUCUAUUUUCUCUACCUUUCCUUUUGUCCCUAAGUCAGAUUUUUGAGUUUGAGCGAAAAAAUCAACGUUGGAGAAUGAUAGAGAAUAGAAACAUCAAGGUGGGUAGAAGAAGAUAACAAACAACAUUAUUUCAAAAAUCUUGAGAUGGAAGCCCUCCACUCACAAUAUAAUUGUAGAAGGGAAACAAUUUCACAGACAAUAAAGAGUUCAUGAUUAAACCAUGCAGUUCAUAAUAAGAUCAUUUUAAAAUAAUUAAUAUUCAUUUUGAACCUGUUAUUUUCAUUUUAAACCAUGCAUGGUUUAUAUAUGGUGGAAGCCCCAUUUUUAAUUCGGUUUAUUUUGAUUAUAAUUAUGUGUUUAAACUAAGAAUACAUAAUGAUACAAGGUUGAAAUAAAAUCUCCUCCACACACUCACAACAUACAUAAUUGUAGAAGGGAAACAAAGUUCACUCAUAACACAAUAAAUAAAAGAUCGAUAAAACACGCAUGCAAUAAUUAUAGAAAUCAGGCCUUAUUUGGUAACAGAUAAACAUCUAUAAGCUAGCCUGGUAAUCAAGCAAGCAAUUAUAUAUAGUUUAUCUGUGAUAUAUGGCCUGCCGUACGUGGAUAAGAUUUUUAAUUACUAUAGCUUGGUAGGUAGCUAUAGUAAUCAAUAAUCUCAAUUAUCAGAAUGGGUGAGGAUUUGAAUGGAUGGAGUUGUGAUUUAAUCCAUGACAUAUCCUAGCUGAUCUAUAUAGUUGUACACUAAUUAUAAUCAAUAUUAUACACGUCACACUUGUGUUCACACCAUGGUUAUUAUGGUUGUUAGGGAAAUCAUGAUGAGCAUUAUUGUUCAUAAUUUUCAGUCGGUGUUCGUAAUAAAAAUAUUACUCGCAAAUCCUUUAUCAUUGACUGUGCAUAAAUAGUAUAAUGAAGGUACAUAUACGUGUGGCUGAAGUCCUUAUUAAGAGUUGCCAGAAAAGCAUCUGUAAAUGCACAUAAAUAGAAGUAAUAAUGGCCUAAUGAGUAAUGAGGGCUCAUAUAGGAAAAUAAUGCAUGAUCAAACCCUCAUCUACUGACUUACUGGCUUCACCAUCAAAAUACAUAAAUGCAGUUUUAAAUUGCUCUAUCUCUAUUAUUAUAUGUUUCCGUGUUUCACUAUCUAGCCAAGAGUAGUAAAAAAAAAGGACUAAACGCUUGGUUCCCAAUCCCAGACAACAAAAUCAAUGUUUCAUAGCAGUUUCUAUCUUUUUUGUUUCCUCAGUGACUAAAAAAAAAUAUUGUUGGAAUCCACCUAUUUGGGUUAAUAUUGUGGUGGUUCGUUGAGACAUUAGAGUCUGCACUUCUCAAGAUUUUAGAUUUGAUUUUUCCAGUCUGAUUUCUAUAGGUUACUUUGACUUCUUAAAAAUAUUGUUGGAGUGAUUGUUUCUAAAUAUUCAUUCCCCUAACAACCAUCGUGUGAACACGAGUGUGAUCUAUCUAUAUAUAAGAGAAAAUCUAAGUUGGUCACAAACACAAAUAAAAAUGAUUUAGGCACAUACACAUAGAUAAGAAAAACUUAAAGAUAAAAGUAAAAAAUGACGUGACUAAUUUAUUUUUCUUUUAAUUCUUUCAUUUAUGUAUGUGUGUCAAAAUAUUUUUGAUUUGGGUUUGUAACUAAGUAAGAAUUGCUGCACAAAGUAAAAAUAUUUUUGACUUGGUUUUGUAACUAAGUUGUAUAUAAAUCAUUCACUCGAUGUUCUGUGAGGCUGGGUUCUAUCCAUUUCGGCUGCAUAUGCCUCUGAUGUUUUAGAUGAUGUCUCAACAUGUCAUUUUUGCUUUAUUUUUUAAAAUUGUCUUUUUUAAAGCUCAAGUUUUCCUGUUAUCUUCUUUCGUGAUGAGUACUUGUGUUAAAGUGAAGAAGGUAUGACUGUAUGAUCUCCUGCUCGUAUUUAUCUAUGCAGGGUCUUUGGUUUUGAAGAUAUCUGUUGUGAAGGUUGUUUUAGCCAAUAUUUGUCAAAUGGGAAGAUUGUUAGGUUUAUAAACUAUAGUUGACUACAUUUUUUUAAAACAAGAGCUCUAGCAAGAUGUCUUAUCAUGGUAGUGCGACAUCAUAGCGAACCUUGUUCUAGUAAGAUAUCAGACAAGUUGUCUUGUCAUUGAUAACAAAAAACAUUUAUAUUUAUAUUUCUAAUCAAAAUCAAAAUUUCAUUAAAAAACACACUGUUAAUAAUUUUUAAACAUUAGCGUAAUAAAAGAGGACGGUUUUUGCUAGUUAUUAACAAAAUAUAAUAUUUUGUACUUGCUUGAUCGGUUUUAAAUUGUUUGGUGUAAAAGGCAGAAACUGAAGCAUUCAAGUCUUUGUAUUUAAUUUUUGAAGUACGUUCAAAAGGAAUGAUUCUAUGAAGUCUUUGAAUUAUUUAGACAUGUCUUAAUACUAAUAACCUUGUAUAUGUUUGGUAUUGUCAAAUUUCUUGUAGUGCAAUUCACCAUACACAAAUAAUUGAAAUCAAUGGAGAUCUUCUUGAUGUAGCAACAAACACUCCAAAAAAAAUAACUACAGUUACAUAUCUUAGCUCUUCGAACACAUCCAAAUGAUCGACAAAUCACCGAUCAAACCUGACAACCUGGUCACUGUGCUUUUAAGGAUGCCCUUGACCUUGAGGCUGCUCUAAGAAGGAUGAAGAACAUGGAAAAUAUUUUCACAAAAUUAUCAAGUGCACUAAUACACAAAAGGUUCGGUGUGCUGCCUAGUUAAAUGAUGAAGAUGAAAAUUGGUGUGAGAAUUUUCAAGUUUGUUGGGAUCAACAUGGAAUAUUUUCUGUUGUAUUUUGAUUUGUCCUUUUAAGACAAGAAAUAAGCUGUUUUCUAAUCCCUAUAUCAAACAACUGUGCCUGUCGGAAAAUAUGCUACUAAAUUCGAGGAACUGUCUCGUUUUUAUCAUUCUUACCGUAAUGCUAACAGUGAUCAUUCAAAGUGAUUGAAGAUCGUGAAUGGACUGCGUUAUAUCAAGUUGUGACUUUAGACGCUAUUUUUUGGUUAUAAGAACGUUGUUGCCAAUCCAAGUGUAGCAUGGAAUUCAUAAAACACUUGAUUUUCCUUCUCUAUGAAAAAAAACUAUAAAUAUAUGCUCCAACUUUAAAUAAAUACAAGAAGAGAUUGCAAGGGAAAACUAGCUCACAAACAAUAUCGCAAUGAAAGAAAAUACAUAGAAAGAGAAAAUAAGUAGAGACAUCGAUCACAUGUAUGACAAGCAUCAAUCCCUGAUAUGUAGAUAUUCAAUUAUUAGUACCAUGGUCGAUUUUUUUACUGACAUCGUCGAAUACUGUAUAGUGAGGAGGGUCACGAAAUGGAAUUAUAAUCAAACUUCUUAUCACUGAACUGAACUUUGCUUUCUCCAGUUUUGUGGCCGCAUCUGCGAAACCACAAAUUGCUUGUAUGAAUGUAAAAUAAAGUGCCAAAAGAGCACCUAAUGUAGAAAGUCCCACAGCCCAACUUGUUAAAUAGUUAUGAACAAGCGAAGCUCUGAAUCUCGCACGCCAACAACCCAAAUACUCAUUCGCCUCAUUCACCACGUUGUACAAAUAUGACUCAUUCAUAUCAGGAACUAUUUCUUUAGCUAUGUUGUUGAUCAAUUCCGCGACAUGUUCAUCACUUCCUAAAGAAUGAUGAAUAACCCCUUUAUAAUGAAGAGCAGAAACAUCAUUAGCUGAAUUUAUGAGUCUGUUUAAGAAAAACAUGUAAGUUGUCAUGUCUGGAUUGCAUCUCUUGUGACAUUUUUCAAAUGCAACUAUGUUGCGAAAAACAGUACCUCUGUGAUCACCAAUGUACAAAGGUGGAAUAGUUAGUUCCUUUACCAUAAUUCCCCAUUUUUUUCCAAAGCUUAUAUCCAUCAACUCUCUACUCUCGCAGGCUUUAAUUUUCACACCCCCUUCUUUUAGUUCUGUUAUUGAAUGAAUCAUCUGGCUCU